This 253-nucleotide ribosomal RNA is filed under the name uncultured bacterium. RNAcentral's name for it is "partial 16S ribosomal RNA". It matches the Rfam family "Bacterial small subunit ribosomal RNA", at positions 524 to 776 of the family's 1533-position model. The record is from RNAcentral.
UACAGAGGUGGCAAGCGUUGUUCGGAAUUACUGGGCGUAAAGGGCGCGUAGGCGGUCUUCUAAGUCUUGUGUGAAAUCCCUCGGCUCAACUGAGGAACUGCACGGGAUACUGGAAGACUUGAGUUCGGGAGAGGGAAGCGGAAUUCCGGGUGUAGCGGUGAAAUGCGUAGAUAUUCGGAAGAACACCAGUGGCGAAGGCGACACACUGGCUCACUACUGACGCUGAGGCGCGAAAGCGUGGGGAGCAAACAGG